UUUUGACCCGUCUUGAAACACGGACCAAGGAGUCUAACAUGUGCGCAAGUCAUUGGGUCUUGUUUAGGCCCAUAGGCGAAAUGAAAGUGAAGGUUUUGUCUUCCCUUCGGGGAUGAGCAUUUACCGAGUUGGGAUCUCGAUUACUUUUUGUGAUUGGGCGCACCAACGGCCCGUUUCAGCCGCUAUGUCGGCGAAUCGGAGCUAGAGCGUACACGUUGGGACCCGAAAGAUGGUGAACUAUGCCUGGGCAGGACGAAGCCAGAGGAAACUCUGGUGGAGGUCCGCAGCGAUUCUGACGUGCAAAUCGAUCGUCAGACCUGGGUAUAGGGGCGAAAGACUAAUCGAACCAUCUAGUAGCUGGUUCCUUCCGAA
This 372-nucleotide ribosomal RNA is filed under the name Ischyropsalis luteipes. RNAcentral describes it as "eukaryotic LSU rRNA". It matches the Rfam family "Eukaryotic large subunit ribosomal RNA", at positions 642 to 965 of the family's 3401-position model. Lineage: Eukaryota; Metazoa; Arthropoda; Arachnida; Opiliones; Ischyropsalididae. The record is from RNAcentral.